AUUGGAAUUGGUCAAACAUUCUCGGUUAUUGAGAGAAAGAAGCAAAACCUCGCUCUCUGUGUGUGUGUGUGUCUGUGUGUUUUUUCUUUUCUUUUCGUUUUUUUGGGGUGGGGAGGUAGGGGGGGCGGGGAGAGGAUGUUUCAUGUUGAUCUUUCUGCCAAAUGCCAAACAUGACGGAAGCUGGUAGUAUAAUUCUCAGGUAAUUAAAAUAUAACAUGACAAUUAAACAACAAUUAUCGCUUGGAGCUGUCAAACUCAUUUUAGAUGGCAUCAGAUGAUCAUAAUGCUGAUGACAUUGGCAUCAGGAAGAAUAUUUUUGAGUAUACAUUCUCUUUUAUAUUGGAAACUAUUUGAUGGCAGUCAGUUUCAAAUUUUAUAUUAGUAUGUAGCUCUUUCAACCAUAAUGGUUUAUAAACUAUGAACAACUAAGUAAACAAAAUGUGGCUCUGUAUCAAAACAUUUUCUCUUAUUUUGGAACCAUAUUGUUUUUUGGUUCAUUGUAUUGAUCAAGGUGCUGAAUACACAAGUAGGAAUAAGACAUAUCAUGUCUAUGUCAAACAUACAAAUUUGUGACACAAUUGGAUAUAGGACAUAUUUGAGAGUCUGUUGCUGCAAUGGAAGAAGAUCUGAACUAAUGACCUAUUAGACAUUAUGGUGUAGAGCCAAAGGAUCGAGACAACCUAUAGGGAGUUUGGUAUGAAUUAGUCAUUCUGGAUCCCUUCAUGAGUCUAGAAGAGAUGCUUGGUGCCCCUUCUUAUGAUGCCUGAUUCCACGUAUAUUGUAGUCGAUUUUUUCAGUUUGACACCCUAUUACUUUUAUUGAUUGACAUAAAAAAAGUAGAAGUAGACUGUAAUGCUAUGCACAUGUAAGGGUGUUUGACUUUUUUUCUUAUAGCUUUUGUUUGGAUAAGUAAAUUAGUGUCCCUUCCUGAAUUUGGAAAACUGGUUGAUUUGUAUUGAAUUGAAGGUGAAAUGGCUUAUAGGUGUCGGGGUAUUUACCACCCAAACUGCUAGACCUAGGUUGAGUGGUUGGGCGUGGCUUGAGCUUCGUUUGCCUCGAACAAACUCAUUCAAAUGAGAACCAAGAGCUAUGCCCAAGUAUCUUUGAGGAUGGGAUUUUAUGUCCACUCUCUUCUUCUUUUCCACUAUUUGAAGGUAGAAGAAAGAGGAAGGGGGACAAUGCUUAGGGUUGAUUUUGUGUUGAAUCAUCCCUCAAAUUUGCAAUUUUGGAACUGGAAAUUCCUUCUAGUUGGGC
This 1254-nucleotide long non-coding RNA is filed under the name Elaeis guineensis (African oil palm). RNAcentral's name for it is "long non-coding RNA (EGUI_LNC031533)". Lineage: Eukaryota; Viridiplantae; Streptophyta; Magnoliopsida; Arecales; Arecaceae. The record is from RNAcentral.